UUGGAUGUAGCUCAGUGGCAAAGCGCUUGCCUAGCAAGUGCAACAUCUUGGGUUCGAUCCCCAGUACCAAAA
Molecule: transfer RNA, 72 nt
Filed under: Dipodomys ordii (Ord's kangaroo rat)
Lineage: Eukaryota; Metazoa; Chordata; Mammalia; Rodentia; Heteromyidae
Rfam family: tRNA
About the family: Transfer RNA (tRNA) molecules are approximately 80 nucleotides in length. Their secondary structure includes four short double-helical elements and three loops (D, anti-codon, and T loops).
Source: Rfam by way of RNAcentral